AGAGCUGUAGUGGUGAUCAGAGAGUGUUCAGUCCUUUAACACACACUGACACACAGCACAAUGAUGAUGUCACUCAUUCUACUGCUGGGGACACUGGGACUCCUCACUCAGGAAUCAUUUGGGGAAAUAAUCCUGACUCAGACUCCAGGAUCUCAGUCUCUUACAGCAGGACAGACUGUUACUAUCAGCUGCAGGGCCAGUGAGAGUGUUAGCAAUUAUCUCCACUGGUACCUACAGAAACCUGGAGAAGCUCCUAUACUCCUGAUCUAUUAUGCAUCAAACCGUCAGACUGGAGUUCCAGAUCGAUUCAGUGGUAGUGGGUCUGGUACAGAAUUUACUCUAAAAAUCACUGGAGUCCAGGCUGAAGAUGCAGGAGAUUACUACUGUCAGCAGGGUUACACUCCAUUCACACAGUGUUAGAAUGCUGUACAAAAA
Electrophorus electricus (electric eel) is the source of this 435-nucleotide non-coding RNA. The record is from the annotation of a RefSeq genome assembly. NCBI's taxonomy places the organism in Eukaryota, Metazoa, Chordata, Actinopteri, Gymnotiformes, Gymnotidae.